This 91-nucleotide transfer RNA is filed under the name Caldifarciminota bacterium. Its description in RNAcentral is "tRNA-Ser". It matches the Rfam family "tRNA". From Rfam's summary of the family: Transfer RNA (tRNA) molecules are approximately 80 nucleotides in length. Their secondary structure includes four short double-helical elements and three loops (D, anti-codon, and T loops). The record is from RNAcentral. RNAcentral also lists the same sequence under 1 other name. Lineage: Bacteria; Pseudomonadati; Caldifarciminota.
GGAGAGGUGCCCGAGCUGGCCGAAGGGGCACGAUUGGAAAUCGUGUGUACCCCUAAAAAGGGUACCGUGGGUUCGAAUCCCACCCUCUCCG